RNAcentral lists this ribosomal RNA (470 nucleotides) under uncultured bacterium. Its description in RNAcentral is "partial 16S ribosomal RNA". It matches the Rfam family "Bacterial small subunit ribosomal RNA", at positions 28 to 507 of the family's 1533-position model. The record is from RNAcentral.
GACGAACGCUGGCGGCGUGCUUAACACAUGCAAGUCGAACGAGAUCCAAUGUGUAGCAAUACACAGGAAGAUCUAGUGACGAACGGGUGAGGAACACGUGAGAAACGUACCCCAGACUUUGGGAUAACAGUCCGAAAGGACUGCUAAUACCAAAUAACGUCGGAAGUCCGCAUGGACAUCUGACGAAAGGGAUUCCGGUUUGGGAGCGUCUCGCGGACCUAUCAGCUAGUUGGAGGGGUAACGGCCCACCAAGGCAACGACGGGUAGCUGGUCUGAGAGGAUGGUCAGCCACACUGGGACUGAGACACGGCCCAGACUCCUACGGGAGGCAGCAGUGGGGAAUCUUGCGCAAUAGGCGAAAGCCUGACGCAGCAACGCCGCGUGCGGGAAGAAGGCUUUCGGGCUGUAAACCGCUUUCAGUAGGAACGAAACUGACGGUACCUACAGAAGAAGGAGCGGCCAACUAUGUG